RNAcentral lists this ribosomal RNA (513 nucleotides) under uncultured bacterium. RNAcentral's name for it is "bacterial SSU rRNA". It matches the Rfam family "Bacterial small subunit ribosomal RNA", at positions 8 to 518 of the family's 1533-position model. The record is from RNAcentral.
AGAGUUGAUCAUGGCUCAGGACGAACGCUGGCGGCGUGCCUAACACAUGCAAGUCGAACGGAGUUAUUAGAGUGAAGUUUCGGAUGGAAUGAUAAUAACUUAGUGGCGGACGGGUGAGUAACGCGUGAGUAACCUGCCCAUGAGAGGGGGAUAACGUUCUGAAAAGAACGCUAAUACCGCAUAACAUAUUUAGUUCGCAUGGACUGAAUAUCAAAGGAGCGAUCCGCUGAUGGAUGGACUCGCGUCCGAUUAGCUAGUUGGUGAGAUAACAGCCCACCAAGGCGACGAUCGGUAGCCGGACUGAGAGGUUGAACGGCCACAUUGGGACUGAGACACGGCCCAGACUCCUACGGGAGGCAGCAGUGGGGGAUAUUGCGCAAUGGGGGAAACCCUGACGCAAGCAACGCCGCGUGAAUGAGGAAGGUCUUCGGAUUGUAAAAUUCUUUUGUCGAGGACGAAACAAAUGACGGUACUCGAUGAAUAAGCUCCGGCUAACUACGUGCCAGCAGCAGC